GGGUUGUGAGGUUAAGCGACUAAGCGUACACGGUGGAUGCCCUGGCAGUCAGAGGCGAUGAAGGACGUGCUAAUCUGCGAAAAGCGUCGGUAAGGUGAUAUGAACCGUUAUAGCCGGCGAUGUCCGAAUGGGGAAACCCAGUGUGAUUCGUCACACUAUCGUUAACUGAAUACAUAGGUUAACGAGGCGAACCGGGGGAACUGAAACAUCUAAGUACCCCGAGGAAAAGAAAUCAACCGAGAUUCCCCCAGUAGCGGCGAGCGAACGGGGAGCAGCCCAGAGUCUGAAUCAGCUUGUGUGUUAGUGGAACGGUCUGGAAAGUCCGACGGUACAGGGUGAUAGUCCCGUACACCAAAAUGCACAGGUUGUGAACUCGAAGAGUAGGGCGGGACACGUGGUAUCCUGUCUGAAUAUGGGGGGACCAUCCUCCAAGGCUAAAUACUCCUGACUGACCGAUAGUGAACCAGUACCGUGAGGGAAAGGCGAAAAGAACCCCGGCGAGGGGAGUGAAAAAGAACCUGAAACCGUGUACGUACAAGCAGUGGGAGCACCUUCGGGUGUGACUGCGUACCUUUUGUAUAAUGGGUCAGCGACUUAUAUUCUGUAGCAAGGUUAACCGUAUAGGGGAGCCGCAGGGAAACCGAGUCUUAACUGGGCGUUAAGUUGCAGGGGUAGACCCGAAACCCGGUGAUCUAGCCAUGGGCAGGUUGAAGGUUGGGUAACACUAACUGGAGGACCGAACCGACUAAUGUUGAAAAAUUAGCGGAUGACUUGUGGCUGGGGGUGAAAGGCCAAUCAAACCGGGAGAUAGCUGGUUCUCCCCGAAAGCUAUUUAGGUAGCGCCUCGUGAACUCAUCUUCGGGGGUAGAGCACUGUUUCGGCUAGGGGGUCAUCCCGACUUACCAACCCGAUGCAAACUACGAAUACCGAAGAAUGUUAUCACGGGAGACACACGGCGGGUGCUAACGUCCGUCGUGAAGAGGGAAACAACCCAGACCGCCAGCUAAGGUCCCAAAGUCAUGGUUAAGUGGGAAACGAUGUGGGAAGGCACAGACAGCCAGGAUGUUGGCUUAGAAGCAGCCAUCAUUUAAAGAAAGCGUAAUAGCUCACUGGUCGAGUCGGCCUGCGCGGAAGAUGUAACGGGGCUAAACCAUGCACCGAAGCUGCGGCAGCGACACUAUGUGUUGUUGGGUAGGGGAGCGUUCUGUAAGCCUGCGAAGGUGACCUGUGAGGGUUGCUGGAGGUAUCAGAAGUGCGAAUGCUGACAUAAGUAACGAUAAAGCGGGUGAAAAGCCCGCUCGCCGGAAGACCAAGGGUUCCUGUCCAACGUUAAUCGGGGCAGGGUGAGUCGACCCCUAAGGCGAGGCCGAAAGGCGUAGUCGAUGGGAAACAGGUUAAUAUUCCUGUACUUGGUGUUACUGCGAAGGGGGGACGGAGAAGGCUAUGUUAGCCGGGCGACGGUUGUCCCGGUUUAAGCAUGUAGGCUGAUUGUCCAGGCAAAUCCGGAUAAUCAAGGCUGAGGUGUGAUGACGAGGCACUACGGUGCUGAAGUAACAAAUGCCCUGCUUCCAGGAAAAGCCUCUAAGCAUCAGGUAACAUUAAAUCGUACCCCAAACCGACACAGGUGGUCAGGUAGAGAAUACCAAGGCGCUUGAGAGAACUCGGGUGAAGGAACUAGGCAAAAUGGUGCCGUAACUUCGGGAGAAGGCACGCUGGUGUGUAGGUGAAGUCCCUGCGGAUGGAGCUGAGACCAGUCGAAGAUACCAGCUGGCUGCAACUGUUUAUUAAAAACACAGCACUGUGCAAACACGAAAGUGGACGUAUACGGUGUGACGCCUGCCCGGUGCCGGAAGGUUAAUUGAUGGGGUUAUCCGUAAGGAGAAGCUCUUGAUCGAAGCCCCGGUAAACGGCGGCCGUAACUAUAACGGUCCUAAGGUAGCGAAAUUCCUUGUCGGGUAAGUUCCGACCUGCACGAAUGGCGUAAUGAUGGCCAGGCUGUCUCCACCCGAGACUCAGUGAAAUUGAACUCGCUGUGAAGAUGCAGUGUACCCGCGGCAAGACGGAAAGACCCCGUGAACCUUUACUAUAGCUUGACACUGAACAUUGAGCCUUGAUGUGUAGGAUAGGUGGGAGGCUUUGAAGCGUGGACGCCAGUCUGCGUGGAGCCAACCUUGAAAUACCACCCUUUAAUGUUUGAUGUUCUAACGUUGGCCCCUGACCGGGGUUGCGGACAGUGUCUGGUGGGUAGUUUGACUGGGGCGGUCUCCUCCCAAAGCGUAACGGAGGAGCACGAAGGUUAGCUAAUCCUGGUCCGAUAUCAGGAGGUUAGUGCAAUGGCAUAAGCUAGCUUGACUGCGAGCGUGACGGCGCGAGCAGGUGCGAAAGCAGGUCAUAGUGAUCCGGUGGUUCUGAAUGGAAGGGCCAUCGCUCAACGGAUAAAAGGUACUCCGGGGAUAACAGGCUGAUACCGCCCAAGAGUUCAUAUCGACGGCGGUGUUUGGCACCUCGAUGUCGGCUCAUCACAUCCCGGGGCUGAAGUAGGUCCCAAGGGUAUGGCUGUUCGCCAUUUAAAGUGGUACGCGAGCUGGGUUUAGAACGUCGUGAGACAGUUCGGUCCCUAUCUGCCGUGGGCGCUGGAGAAUUGAGGGGGGCUGCUCCUAGUACGAGAGGACCGGAGUGGACGCAUCACUGGUGUUCGGGUUGUCAUGCCAAUGGCACUGCCCGGUAGCUAAAUGCGGAAGAGAUAAGUGCUGAAAGCAUCUAAGCACGAAACUUGCCCCGAGAUGAGUUCUCCCUGAGACUAUAAGUCUCCUGAAGGAACGUUAAAGACGAUGACGUUGAUAGGCCGGGUGUGUAAGCGCAGCGAUGCGUUGAGCUAACCGGUACUAAUGAACCGUGAGGCUUAACCUUACAACGCCGAAG
RNAcentral lists this ribosomal RNA (2922 nucleotides) under Klebsiella pneumoniae. Its description in RNAcentral is "23S ribosomal RNA". It matches the Rfam family "Bacterial large subunit ribosomal RNA". Lineage: Bacteria; Pseudomonadati; Pseudomonadota; Gammaproteobacteria; Enterobacterales; Enterobacteriaceae. The record is from RNAcentral.